This 465-nucleotide ribosomal RNA is filed under the name uncultured bacterium. Its description in RNAcentral is "partial 16S ribosomal RNA". It matches the Rfam family "Bacterial small subunit ribosomal RNA", at positions 28 to 507 of the family's 1533-position model. The record is from RNAcentral.
GACGAACGCUGGCGGCGUGCUUAACACAUGCAAGUCGAACGGAAAGGCCCUGCUUGCAGGGUACUCGAGUGGCGAACGGGUGAGUAACACGUGGGUGAUCUGCACUGCACUUCGGGAUAAGCCUGGGAAACUGGGUCUAAUACCGGAUAGGAGCCAUUUUUAGUGUGAUGGUUGGAAAGUUUUUUCGGUGUAGGAUGAGCUCGCGGCCUAUCAGCUUGUUGGUGGGGUAAUGGCCUACCAAGGCGGCGACGGGUAGCCGGCCUGAGAGGGUGGACGGCCACAUUGGGACUGAGAUACGGCCCAGACUCCUACGGGAGGCAGCAGUGGGGAAUAUUGCACAAUGGGCGCAAGCCUGAUGCAGCGACGCCGCGUGGGGGAUGACGGCCUUCGGGUUGUAAACUCCUUUCGCUAGGGACGAAGCUUUUUGUGACGGUACCUAGAUAAGAAGCACCGGCUAACUACGUG